RNAcentral lists this ribosomal RNA (467 nucleotides) under uncultured bacterium. RNAcentral describes it as "partial 16S ribosomal RNA". It matches the Rfam family "Bacterial small subunit ribosomal RNA", at positions 28 to 506 of the family's 1533-position model. The record is from RNAcentral.
GACGAACGCUGGCGGCGUGCUUAACACAUGCAAGUCGAACGGAAAGGCCCUGCUUUUGUGGGGUGCUCGAGUGGCGAACGGGUGAGUAACACGUGAGUAACCUGCCCUUGACUUUGGGAUAACUUCAGGAAACUGGGGCUAAUACCGGAUAGGAGCUCCUGCUGCAUGGUGGGGGUUGGAAAGUUUCGGCGGUUGGGGAUGAACUCGCGGCUUAUCAGCUUGUUGGUGGGGUAGUGGCUUACCAAGGCUUUGACGGGUAGCCGGCCUGAGAGGGUGACCGGCCACAUUGGGACUGAGAUACGGCCCAGACUCCUACGGGAGGAAGGAGUGGGGAAUAUUGCACAAUGGGCGGAAGCAUGAUGCAGCAACGCCGCGUGCGGGAUGACGGCCUUCGGGUUGUAAACCGCUUUCGACUGUGACGAAGCGUGAGUGACGGUAAUGGGUAAAGAAGCACCGGCUAACUACGU